UACAGAGACUGCAAGCGUUAUUCGGAUUCACUGGGCGUAAAGGGUGCGCAGGCGGCCAAGUGUGUGAGGCGUGAAAGCCUGGGGCUUAACUCCAGAAUUGCACCUCAAACUACAUGGCUAGAGCAUUGGAGAGGGUAGCAGAAUUCACGGUGUAGCAGUGAAAUGCGUAGAUAUCGUGAGGAAUACCAGAGGCGAAGGCGGCUACCUGGACAAUUGCUGACGCUCAGGCGCGAAAGCGUGGGGAGCAAAAGGG
This 253-nucleotide ribosomal RNA is filed under the name uncultured bacterium. RNAcentral's name for it is "partial 16S ribosomal RNA". It matches the Rfam family "Bacterial small subunit ribosomal RNA", at positions 524 to 776 of the family's 1533-position model. The record is from RNAcentral.